AAACCCGAUCCCAUCUCGAACUCGGCCGUUAACCGCCCCAGCGCCUAUGGUACUGUGUCUCAAGACACGGGAGAGUCGGUCACCGCCAGAC
Molecule: non-coding RNA, 91 nt
Organism: Methylobacterium tarhaniae
Lineage: Bacteria; Pseudomonadati; Pseudomonadota; Alphaproteobacteria; Hyphomicrobiales; Methylobacteriaceae
Source: Rfam